This 465-nucleotide ribosomal RNA is filed under the name uncultured bacterium. RNAcentral describes it as "partial 16S ribosomal RNA". It matches the Rfam family "Bacterial small subunit ribosomal RNA", at positions 28 to 507 of the family's 1533-position model. The record is from RNAcentral.
GACGAACGCUGGCGGCGUGCUUAACACAUGCAAGUCGAACGGAAAGGCCCCUUUGUGGGUACUCGAGUGGCAGACGGGUGCGUAACACGUACGUAACCUGCCCUUGCCUACGGGAUAACUUCAGGAAACUGGGGCCAAUACCGGUAAGGAAUCAUUUUUGCAUGGGGGGGGUUGGAAAGCUUCGGCGGUUUUGGAUGGCCUUGCGGGAUAUCGGCUUGUUGGUUGGGUGGUGGCUUACCAAGGCGUCGGCGGGUAGCCGGCCUGAGUGGGCGACCGGCCACAUUGAGACUGAGAUGCGGCCCAGGUUCCUACGGGUGGCAACAGUGGGGAAUCUUGCAGGAGGGGCGGCGGCCUGAUGCAGCAACGCCGCGUGCGGGAUGACGGCCUUCGGGUUGAAAACCGCUUUCGGCAGGGGCGGAGCUUGUGGUGACGGUACCUGCAGAAGAAGCACCGGCUAACUACGUG